GGGUGAGAGAGUAAAAAUGUCAUUUUCGGAAAAAAAAAAUAAAAAAAAUUUAAUGGCAUUUUCGUGAAUAUUAUGAACUUGUGGGGUAAAUAGAACAAAAGAAAAAUCCAAAAAAAACAUGGGUUAGUUUUAGAUUUGACUUUGAGUUUUGAGUCAAUCUUGCAAAAAAACCUAAUUUCAUAACAGAUACAAAUAAAAAAAGGGCAAAUCUCCAAAAUAGCACCUUUCUAAGUUUAUAUCACAAAAAUAGCACUCAAAAACUAAAACGACCAAAAUAGCACAUUUCUAAGUUUAUCCUUUGAAAAUUUUAAUUUUUUUAUUUUUCAAAAUUUGAAAUCUUAUCCCCAAAACCUCAUUUCUCAACUCUAAACCCUAAACCUUAAACUCUAAACCCUAAACCCUAAACUCUAAAUCUUAAACCCUAAACCCUAAACCCUAAACUCUAAACCUUAAACCCUAAACUUUAAACCCUAAACCCUAAACCCUAAACCCUAAAC
RNAcentral lists this long non-coding RNA (497 nucleotides) under Brassica napus (rape). Its description in RNAcentral is "long non-coding RNA (BNAP_LNC023316)". The record is from RNAcentral. Lineage: Eukaryota; Viridiplantae; Streptophyta; Magnoliopsida; Brassicales; Brassicaceae.